GGCCCGGUAGCUCAGUGGAUAGAGCGGCGGCUUACUAAGCCGCGCGUCGAGGGUUCGAAACCCUCCCGGGCCA
Molecule: transfer RNA, 73 nt
Filed under: Actinomycetota bacterium
Lineage: Bacteria; Bacillati; Actinomycetota
Description: tRNA-Ser
Rfam family: tRNA
About the family: Transfer RNA (tRNA) molecules are approximately 80 nucleotides in length. Their secondary structure includes four short double-helical elements and three loops (D, anti-codon, and T loops). Further hydrogen bonds mediate the characteristic L-shaped molecular structure. tRNAs have two regions of fundamental functional importance: the anti-codon, which is responsible for specific mRNA codon recognition, and the 3' end, to which the tRNAs corresponding amino acid is attached (by aminoacyl-tRNA synthetases). tRNAs cope with the degeneracy of the genetic code in two manners: having more than one tRNA (with a specific anti-codon) for a particular amino acid; and 'wobble' base-pairing, i.e. permitting non-standard base-pairing at the 3rd anti-codon position.
Source: RNAcentral